RNAcentral lists this ribosomal RNA (224 nucleotides) under uncultured bacterium. RNAcentral describes it as "partial 16S ribosomal RNA". It matches the Rfam family "Bacterial small subunit ribosomal RNA", at positions 524 to 746 of the family's 1533-position model. The record is from RNAcentral.
GACAGAGGGUGCAAACGUUGCUCGGAAUCACUGGGCGUAAAGGGCGUGUAGGCGGGAAGGAAAGUCGGGCGUGAAAUCCCUGGGCUCAACCCAGGAACUGCACUCGAAACUUCUUUUCUUGAGUGCCGGAGAGGAAAGCGGGAAUUCCUGGUGUAGAGGUGAAAUUCGUAGAUAUCAGGAGGAACACCAGUGGCGAAGGCGGCUUUCUGGACGGUAACUGACGC